GUAAAGCGAGCGCAGGCGGUCUUUUAAGUCUAAUGUGAAAGCUUCGGCUCAACCGAAGAAGUGCAUUGGAAACUGGGAGACUUGAGUGCAGAAGAGGACAGUGGAACUCCAUGUGUAGCGGUGAAAUGCGUAGAUAUAUGGAAGAACACCAGUGGCGAAGGCGGCUGUCUGGUCUGUAACUGACGCUGAGGCUCGAAAGCAUGGGUAGCGAACAGGAUUAGAUACCCUGGUAGUCCAUGCCGUAAACGAUGAUUACUAAGUGUUGGAGGGUUUCCGCCCUUCAGUGCUGCAGCUAACGCAUUAAGUAAUCCGCCUGGGGAGUACGACCGCAAGGUUGAAACUCAAAAGAAUUGACGGGGGCCCGCACAAGCGGUGGAGCAUGUGGUUUAAUUCGAAGCUACGCGAAGAACCUUACCAGGUCUUGACAUCUUCUGCCAACCUAAGAGAUUAGGCGUUCCCUUCGGGGACAGAAUGACAGGUGGUGCAUGGUUGUCGUCAGCUCGUGUCGUGAGAUGUUGGGUUAAGUCCCGCAACGAGCGCAACCCUUAUUACUAGUUGCCAGCAUUCAGUUGGGCACUCUAGUGAGACUGCCGGUGACAAACCGGAGGAAGGUGGGGACGACGUCAAAUCAUCAUGCCCCUUAUGACCUGGGCUACACACGUGCUACAAUGGAUGGUACAACGAGUUGCGAAACCGCGAGGUUUAGCUAAUCUCUUAAAACCAUUCUCAGUUCGGACUGUAGGCUGCAACUCGCCUACACGAAGUCGGAAUCGCUAGUAAUCGCGGAUCAGCAUGCCGCGGUGAAUACGUUCCCGGGCCUUGUACACACCGCCCGUCACACCAUGAGAGUUUGUAACACCCAAAGCCGGUGGGGUAACCUUUUAGGAGCUAGCCGUCUAAGGUGGGACAGAUGA
This 914-nucleotide ribosomal RNA is filed under the name Pediococcus acidilactici. Its description in RNAcentral is "bacterial SSU rRNA". It matches the Rfam family "Bacterial small subunit ribosomal RNA", at positions 560 to 1474 of the family's 1533-position model. The record is from RNAcentral. Lineage: Bacteria; Bacillati; Bacillota; Bacilli; Lactobacillales; Lactobacillaceae.